RNAcentral lists this ribosomal RNA (464 nucleotides) under uncultured bacterium. RNAcentral's name for it is "bacterial SSU rRNA". It matches the Rfam family "Bacterial small subunit ribosomal RNA", at positions 445 to 897 of the family's 1533-position model. The record is from RNAcentral.
ACGAAGCUUCCGAGGUUAAUAGCCUACGGGGUGACGGUACCCCCAGAAGAACGCCCCGGCUAACUACGUGCCAGCAGCCGCGGUAAUACGUAGGGGGCGAGCGUUGUCCGGAAUCAUUGGGCGUAAAGCGCGUGUAGGCGGCUUGGUAAGUCUGGUGUGAAACCUUGGGGCUCAACCCCAAGCCUGCACUGGAUACUGCCUGGCUUGAGUCCGGGAGGGGAGAGCGGAAUUCCUAGUGUAGCGGUGAAAUGCGCAGAUAUUAGGAAGAACACCGGUGGCGAAGGCGGCUCUCUGGAACGGUACUGACGCUGAGACGCGAAAGCGGUGGGGAGCGAACAGGAUUAGAUACCCUGGUAGUCCACGCCGUAAACGAUGGGCACUAGAUGUGGGCGGUGUCGACUCCGUCCGUGUCGAAGCUAACGCAUUAAGUCGCCCCGCCGUGGGGAGUACGGCCGCAAGGACUA